GACGUAGGGCGCGAGCGUUGUCCGGAGUUAUUGGGCGUAAAGCGCUCGUAGGCGGCUCAUUGCGUCCACCGUGAAAACCAGCAGCUCAACUGUUGGCUUGCGGUUGAUACGGGUGGGCUGGAGUUCGGUAGGGGAGAAUGGAAUUCCUGGUGUAGCGGUGAAAUGCGCAGAUAUCAGGAGGAACACCGGUGGCGAAGGCGGGUGUCUGGGCCGAUACUGACGCUGAGGAGCGAAAGCGUGGGGAGCGAACAGG
Molecule: ribosomal RNA, 253 nt
Filed under: uncultured bacterium
Lineage: Bacteria
Description: partial 16S ribosomal RNA
Rfam family: Bacterial small subunit ribosomal RNA
Source: RNAcentral